Molecule: transfer RNA, 20 nt
Filed under: Ameiurus nebulosus (brown bullhead)
Lineage: Eukaryota; Metazoa; Chordata; Actinopteri; Siluriformes; Ictaluridae
Description: partial tRNA-Pro
Source: RNAcentral
ACCAGAAAAUAGUUUAAUUA